RNAcentral lists this long non-coding RNA (872 nucleotides) under Homo sapiens (human). RNAcentral's name for it is "HSALNT0376556". The record is from RNAcentral. Lineage: Eukaryota; Metazoa; Chordata; Mammalia; Primates; Hominidae.
CAAGAACCCAGCCCCCAUAGUGUGAGGAGGCCUAGGACAGUUACAGAAGCCAUGUGUAGGUGUUCUGGCUCCAGCAAAAGUCUUAUCUGACAACAUCAACUACAUGUUAGUGGCCUUUCCUUGAAAUUGCUGGAGCUUGUGCAUCAUCAAAAUAAUGGCAUAAACCAAGGAAGAAGAAAACAAAAUUGAGGAAAUGGGAUCCAACACAAAAGAGAGACAACAGGAUUAAUUGAGUGUUGGUGAAAAGCCACAGCCUGUAAAUAAUGCAGUUCGAACUGAAAUAGACCAGGAGGCUCAAGGAGAGACUUCUUCAAGAAGAUAAAAUUGAUAGAAUGCCUAAGGAGUUUGAGUGCAUUGAGAAUAGAUUCAUAUCAGUUCUGGAGAACUGGGUGGAUACAUUAAUGGUUUGUCUUGGUCCAUUUUAUGCUGCUAUAACAGAACACCACAGACUGAGAAAUUUAUAAGGAAUAGAAGUUUAUUUGCCUCAUGUUUCUGGAGGCUGGGAAUUCCAAGAUCAAGGGGCUGCAUAGAUUGAGGUCCUUUUUGCUGACUCAUAACGUGGAAAGAGAGUGCACUGCAUAGAAGAAAGGAGGCCAAACUCAUUCUUUUAUCAUGAGCCUACUCCUGAAAUAACUCACUCUCAAGAUAAUGGCAUUAAUCCAUUCAUGAAGGCAGAAUACUCAUGAUGUAAUCACCUCUUAAAAGACUAACCAGAAUUGGCUACAGUUUCUUCAAGAAAAUACCCCAAUGGAAGAAAAAAAGGUGGAGGGAGAAACUGAAUGAAGAAAGGAUGAUUUGAAAUUACCAGAAAGUGGAACGUGGAAAAAACAGAGUAAAACUAGUUUGAGAAUAAAAUCUUAGGUUGUAACAUC